Molecule: ribosomal RNA, 433 nt
Filed under: uncultured bacterium
Lineage: Bacteria
Description: partial 16S ribosomal RNA
Rfam family: Bacterial small subunit ribosomal RNA
Source: RNAcentral
AACGAACGCUGGCGGCAUGCCUAACACAUGCAAGUCGAACGAGACCUUCGGGUCUAGUGGCGCACGGGUGCGUAACGCGUGGGAACCUGCCCUUAGGUUCGGAAUAACUCCCCGAAAGGGGUGCUAAUACCGGAUAAUGUCUUCGGACCAAAGAUUUAUCGCCUUUGGAUGGGGCCGCGUUGGAUUAGCUAGUUGGUAGGGUACAAGCCUACCAAGGCGACGAUCCAUAGCUGGUCUGAGAGGAUGAUAAGCCACACUGGGCCUGAGACACGGCCCAGACUCCUACGGGAGGCAGCAGUGGGGAAUAUUGGACAAUGGGCGAAAGCCUGAUCCAGCAAUGCCGCGUGAGUGAUGAAGGCCUUAGGGUUGUAAAGCUCUUUUACCCGGGAUGAUAAUGACAGUACCGGGAGAAUAAGCUCCGGCUAACUCCGUG